GUUGACAACCCUGUGUCCUGUGGUGAAGAUCGUGUCCACUCUAUAUAUUGAGAACCGUUAUGAUUUCAAAGUUUAUACUUGACAUGUAUAUGAACCAACACCAGAGGGUGUGUCAUAAUUUAUGAACGACUGCCUAGGGCAAAGUUCAAGGUCAAAAACUUUGGUUUCAGUUGACAACCCUGUGUCCUGUGGUGAAGAUCGUGUCCGCUCUAUAUCUUGAGAACCGUUAUGAUUUCAAAGUUUAUACUUGACAUGUUAUAUGAACCAACACCAGAGGGUGUGUCAUAAUUUAUGAACGACUGCCUAGGGCAAAGUUCAAGGUCAAAAACUUUGGUUUCAGUUGACAACCCCAUGUCCUAUGGUAAAGAUCGUGUCCGCUCUAUAUCUUGAGAACCGUUAUCAUUUCAAAGUUUAUACUUGACAUGUUUAUAAACCAACACCAAAGGGUGUGUCAUAAUUUAUUUACAACUUCCUAGGUCAAAGGUCAAGGUCAAAAACUUUGAUUUCAGUUGACAAACCCAUGUCCUAUGGUAAAGAUACAAUUUUUUAAUGCACAUUAUUCACAGCGGGGCCCACAGAGAUGGCUCCCAUCUCAAUGAUAUCUAGUUGAUAUUCAUGU
This 619-nucleotide long non-coding RNA is filed under the name Mytilus galloprovincialis (Mediterranean mussel). The record is from RNAcentral. Lineage: Eukaryota; Metazoa; Mollusca; Bivalvia; Mytilida; Mytilidae.